UACUGGUGGUGUCAUUGUGCAGGUCCUG
Molecule: non-coding RNA, 28 nt
Filed under: Mus musculus (house mouse)
Lineage: Eukaryota; Metazoa; Chordata; Mammalia; Rodentia; Muridae
Source: RNAcentral